AUUGAACGCUGGCGGAAUGCUUUACACAUGCAAGUCGAACGGCAGCACGGACUUCGGUCUGGUGGCGAGUGGCGAACGGGUGAGUAACAUAUCGGAACGUAUCCAAUAAUGGGGGAUAACGAGUCGAAAGAUUCGCUAAUACCGCAUACGCCCUACGGGGGAAAGCUGGGGACCUUCGGGCCUGGCGUUAAUGGAGCGGCCGAUAUCUGAUUAGCUAGUUGGUGAGGUAAAGGCUCACCAAGGCGACGGUCAGUAGCUGGUCUGAGAGGACGACAAGCCACACUGGAACUGAGACACGGUCCAGACCCCUACGGGAGGCAGCAGUGGGGAAUUUUGGACAAUGGGCGCAAGCCUGAUCCAGCCAUUCCGCGUGAGUGAAGAAGGCCUUCGGGUUGUAAAGCUCUUUCGCAAGGGAAGAAAACUUAGCCACUAACAUUGGUUGAGGUUGACGGUACCUUGAUAAGAAGCACCGGCUAACUACGUGCCAGCCGCCGCUGUAA
Molecule: ribosomal RNA, 500 nt
Filed under: uncultured bacterium
Lineage: Bacteria
Description: partial 16S ribosomal RNA
Rfam family: Bacterial small subunit ribosomal RNA
Source: RNAcentral